This 423-nucleotide ribosomal RNA is filed under the name uncultured eukaryote. RNAcentral's name for it is "SSU rRNA". It matches the Rfam family "Eukaryotic small subunit ribosomal RNA", at positions 592 to 1018 of the family's 1831-position model. The record is from RNAcentral.
CAAUAGCGUAUAUUAAAGUUGUUGCGGUUAAAAGCUCGUAGUUGGAUUUCUGUUGAGGUCGGGCGGUGUACACCUCGUGUAUUAUUUGCUUCGGUCUCGGCAUCCUCUUGGGGAACGUAUCAGGACUUUAUUGGACUGUGCGAGAUUCAAGACUUUUACUUUGAGGAAAUUAGAGUGUUCACGGCAGGCAAGUGCUUUGAAUACAUUAGCAUGGAAUAAUAAUAUAGGACCUUCGUUCUAUUUUGUUGGUUUCUAGAACUUAGGUAAUGAUUAAUAGGACAAUAGGGGCGAUCGUAUUAACGACGUCAGAGGUGGAAUUCUUGGAUUGCGUUACGACGAACUACUGCGAAAGACAUUUGUCCAAAGAAUGUUUUCUAUUGAUCAAGAACGAAAGUAUGGGGAUCGAAGACGAUUAGAUACCAU